AGAGUUUGAUCCUGGCUCAGAUUGAACGCUGGCGGCAUGCCUUACACAUGCAAGUCGAACGGCAGCGCGGGGCAACCUGGCGGCGAGUGGCGAACGGGUGAGUAAUAUAUCGGAACGUACCCUGGAGUGGGGGAUAACGUAGCGAAAGUUACGCUAAUACCGCAUACGAUCUAAGGAUGAAAGUGGGGGAUUCGCAAGAACCUCAUGCUCCUGGAGCGGCCGAUAUCUGAUUAGCUAGUUGGUAGGGUAAAAGCCUACCAAGGCAUCGAUCAGUAGCUGGUCUGAGAGGACGACCAGCCACACUGGAACUGAGACACGGUCCAGACUCCUACGGGAGGCAGCAGUGGGGAAUUUUGGACAAUGGGCGCAAGCCUGAUCCAGCAAUGCCGCGUGAGUGAAGAAGGCCUUCGGGUUGUAAAGCUCUUUUGUCAGGGAAGAAACGGGUCUUUCUAAUACAGAGAUCUAAUGACGGUACCUGAAGAAUAAGCACCGGCUAACUACGUGCCAGCAGCCGCGGUAAUACGUAGGGUGCAAGCGUUAAUCGGAAUUACUGGGCGUAAAGCGUGCGCAGGCGGUUUUGUAAGACUGUCGUGAAAUCCCCGGGCUCAACCUGGGAAUGGCGAUGGUGACUGCAAGGCUAGAGUUUGGCAGAGGGGGGUAGAAUUCCACGUGUAGCAGUGAAAUGCGUAGAUAUGUGGAGGAACACCGAUGGCGAAGGCAGCCCCCUGGGUCAAAACUGACGCUCAUGCACGAAAGCGUGGGGAGCAAACAGGAUUAGAUACCCUGGUAGUCCACGCCCUAAACGAUGUCUACUAGUUGUCGGGUUUUAAUUAACUUGGUAACGCAGCUAACGCGUGAAGUAGACCGCCUGGGGAGUACGGUCGCAAGAUUAAAACUCAAAGGAAUUGACG
This 911-nucleotide ribosomal RNA is filed under the name uncultured bacterium. RNAcentral's name for it is "bacterial SSU rRNA". It matches the Rfam family "Bacterial small subunit ribosomal RNA", at positions 8 to 915 of the family's 1533-position model. The record is from RNAcentral.